This is a long non-coding RNA of Hippocampus comes (tiger tail seahorse), 349 nucleotides long. RefSeq lists it as uncharacterized. Lineage: Eukaryota; Metazoa; Chordata; Actinopteri; Syngnathiformes; Syngnathidae. The record is from RefSeq and is a predicted model, not a curated record. The transcript is spliced from 2 exons.
AAUUUAAUGUAAUCAUAAAUUCUUUUUUCUUUUUUUAAUCUCUUCACCUGCAGGAGAAGGCAGAGUAGUGGGCGGCAAUUAUCUCACGAGGACAUCCUGACCACGCGUCCCUGUGAGUUUUAUGCAGUCAUGCUUUGCUGGUUCCUCAAAAGCAGAGUGUUACCUGCGCACGCCAGCUUUUCCCCAGCACCUCGUCUCUCCUCCAUUCCGCUCUCUCCUGUGAUUUGUUGUCCUGUGAGUAUGUGUGUAUUUAGUUUGCUGAUUGACCUUUUUUGCUUUCAUACCUGAGGGGUGGCCAGUCCUUCCAGAGACCCAACAAUUUAUAAACAAGCAAUUAAAAAGUCAAUUU